Molecule: ribosomal RNA, 1415 nt
Filed under: Leptolyngbya sp. CENA155
Lineage: Bacteria; Bacillati; Cyanobacteriota; Cyanophyceae; Leptolyngbyales; Leptolyngbyaceae
Description: bacterial SSU rRNA
Rfam family: Bacterial small subunit ribosomal RNA
Source: RNAcentral
GAUGAACGCUGGCGGCGUGCUUAACACAUGCAAGUCGAACGGUCUCUUCGGAGAUAGUGGCGGACGGGUGAGUAACGCGUGAGGAUCUGCCCUUAGGAGGGGGACAACAGUUGGAAACGACUGCUAAUACCCCAUAUGCUGAGAGGUGAAACGGUUUUUCCGCCUGAGGAUGAACUCGCGUCUGAUUAGCUAGUUGGUGAGGUAAGGGCUCACCAAGGCGGCGAUCAGUAGCUGGUCUAAGAGGAUGAUCAGCCACACUGGGACUGAGACACGGCCCAGACUCCUACGGGAGGCAGCAGUGGGGAAUUUUCCGCAAUGGGCGCAAGCCUGACGGAGCAACGCCGCGUGGGGGAGGAAGGUUUUUGGACUGUAAACCCCUUUUCUCAGGGAAGAAGAAAGUGACGGUACCUGAGGAAUAAGCCUCGGCUAAUUCCGUGCCAGCAGCCGCGGUAAUACGGGAGAGGCAAGCGUUAUCCGGAAUUAUUGGGCGUAAAGCGUCCGCAGGCGGUUAAUCAAGUCUGUUGUCAAAGCGUGGGGCUCAACCUCAUACAGGCAAUGGAAACUGAUUGACUAGAGUAUGGUAGGGGUAGCGGGAAUUCCAGGUGUAGCGGUGAAAUGCGUAGAUAUCGGGAAGAACACCAGUGGCGAAGGCGCUCUACUGGGCCACAACUGACGCUGAGGGACGAAAGCUAGGGGAGCGAAAGGGAUUAGAUACCCCUGUAGUCCUAGCUGUAAACGAUGGAUACUAGGUGUUGGACGUAUCGACCCGUGCAGUACCGUAGCUAACGCGUUAAGUAUCCCGCCUGGGGAGUACGCACGCAAGUGUGAAACUCAAAGGAAUUGACGGGGGCCCGCACAAGCGGUGGAGGAUGUGGUUUAAUUCGAUGCAACGCGAAGAACCUUACCAAGGCUUGACAUCCUGCGAACCUCUCUGAAAGGAGAGGGUGCCUUCGGGAACGCAGAGACAGGUGGUGCAUGGCUGUCGUCAGCUCGUGUCGUGAGAUGUUGGGUUAAGUCCCGCAACGAGCGCAACCCUCGUCCUUAGUUGCCAGCAUUGAGUUGGGCACUCUGGGGAGACUGCCGGGGACAACUCGGAGGAAGGUGGGGACGACGUCAAGUCAUCAUGCCCCUUACGUCUUGGGCUACACACGUCCUACAAUGCUACAGACAGAGGGCAGCGAGACCGCGAGGUUAAGCAAAUCCCAUAAACUGUGGCUCAGUUCAGAUUGCAGGCUGCAACUCGCCUGCAUGAAGGCGGAAUCGCUAGUAAUCGCAGGUCAGCAUACUGCGGUGAAUACGUUCCCGGGCCUUGUACACACCGCCCGUCACACCAUGGGAGUUGGCCACGCCCGAAGUCGUUACUCUAACCGUUCGCUGAGGAGGGCGCCGAAGGCAGGGCUGAUGACUGGGGUGAA